This 253-nucleotide ribosomal RNA is filed under the name uncultured bacterium. Its description in RNAcentral is "partial 16S ribosomal RNA". It matches the Rfam family "Bacterial small subunit ribosomal RNA", at positions 524 to 776 of the family's 1533-position model. The record is from RNAcentral.
UACAGAGGGUGCAAGCGUUAAUCGGAAUUACUGGGCGUAAAGGGUGUGUAGGUGGUUUGAUAAGUUAGGUGUGAAAGUCCUGGGCUUAACCUGGGAAUUGCGCCUAAUACUGUUGAGCUAGAGUACUGUAGAGGAAGGUGGAAUUUCCGGUGUAGCGGUGAAAUGCGUAGAUAUCGGAAGGAACAUCAGUGGCGAAGGCGACCUUCUGGACAGAUACUGACACUGAAACACGAAAGCAUGGGUAGCAAACAGG